GUCGUGGUCCGGGCCCCUCUGGCGGCGACCCGACAAGUCCUCGCGAUGUCGGGCCACGACA
This is a non-coding RNA of Sphingomonas sp. TDK1, 61 nucleotides long. The record is from Rfam. NCBI's taxonomy places the organism in Bacteria, Pseudomonadati, Pseudomonadota, Alphaproteobacteria, Sphingomonadales, Sphingomonadaceae.